This 800-nucleotide ribosomal RNA is filed under the name Bacillus velezensis. RNAcentral describes it as "bacterial SSU rRNA". It matches the Rfam family "Bacterial small subunit ribosomal RNA", at positions 40 to 823 of the family's 1533-position model. Lineage: Bacteria; Bacillati; Bacillota; Bacilli; Caryophanales; Bacillaceae. The record is from RNAcentral.
CGGCUUGCUUAUACAUGCAAGUCGAGCGGACAGAUGGGAGCUUGCUCCCUGAUGUUAGCGGCGGACGGGUGAGUAACACGUGGGUAACCUGCCUGUAAGACUGGGAUAACUCCGGGAAACCGGGGCUAAUACCGGAUGGUUGUCUGAACCGCAUGGUUCAGACAUAAAAGGUGGCUUCGGCUACCACUUACAGAUGGACCCGCGGCGCAUUAGCUAGUUGGUGAGGUAACGGCUCACCAAGGCGACGAUGCGUAGCCGACCUGAGAGGGUGAUCGGCCACACUGGGACUGAGACACGGCCCAGACUCCUACGGGAGGCAGCAGUAGGGAAUCUUCCGCAAUGGACGAAAGUCUGACGGAGCAACGCCGCGUGAGUGAUGAAGGUUUUCGGAUCGUAAAGCUCUGUUGUUAGGGAAGAACAAGUGCCGUUCAAAUAGGGCGGCACCUUGACGGUACCUAACCAGAAAGCCACGGCUAACUACGUGCCAGCAGCCGCGGUAAUACGUAGGUGGCAAGCGUUGUCCGGAAUUAUUGGGCGUAAAGGGCUCGCAGGCGGUUUCUUAAGUCUGAUGUGAAAGCCCCCGGCUCAACCGGGGAGGGUCAUUGGAAACUGGGGAACUUGAGUGCAGAAGAGGAGAGUGGAAUUCCACGUGUAGCGGUGAAAUGCGUAGAGAUGUGGAGGAACACCAGUGGCGAAGGCGACUCUCUGGUCUGUAACUGACGCUGAGGAGCGAAAGCGUGGGGAGCGAACAGGAUUAGAUACCCUGGUAGUCCACGCCGUAAACGAUGAGUGCUAAGUGU